AUGGUAAAAAGAGAUGUCAUCUCUGUCUUUAGAUUUACAGUCUAAUGCUUAUCCUCAGCCAUUUUACC
This 68-nucleotide transfer RNA is filed under the name Sorex daphaenodon (large-toothed Siberian shrew). Its description in RNAcentral is "tRNA-Tyr". The record is from RNAcentral. Lineage: Eukaryota; Metazoa; Chordata; Mammalia; Eulipotyphla; Soricidae.